This 254-nucleotide ribosomal RNA is filed under the name uncultured bacterium. Its description in RNAcentral is "partial 16S ribosomal RNA". It matches the Rfam family "Bacterial small subunit ribosomal RNA", at positions 524 to 776 of the family's 1533-position model. The record is from RNAcentral.
UACGUAGGGUGCUAGCGUUGUCCGGAUUUAUUGGGCGUAAAGAGCUCGUAGGCGGUUCGUCGCGUCGGUCGUGAAAACUUGGGGCUUAACCCUGAGCUUGCGGUCGAUACGGGCAUCACUGGAGUUCGGCAGGGGAGACUGGAAUUCCUGGUGUAGCGGUGAAAUGCGCAGAUAUCAGGAGGAACACCGGUGGCGAAGGCGGGUCUCUGGGCCGAUACUGACGCUGAGGAGCGAAAGCGUGGGGAGCGAACAGG